CCCCACUCAGGGUCACACCUGGAGAGUUUCCAGUACUCUACCAGUCUUGGUUACUGGAGGGAGAGUCAAGUAGGGGCCUACCCAUUCCAUUCCCAGCUUGGCCAGUGGCUGGUGAGUGGAAGGCAAUCUGCUACAGCU
Tachyglossus aculeatus (Australian echidna) is the source of this 138-nucleotide small nucleolar RNA. The record is from RefSeq and is a predicted model, not a curated record. NCBI's taxonomy places the organism in Eukaryota, Metazoa, Chordata, Mammalia, Monotremata, Tachyglossidae.